CUAGGACGAUCUGCUGUCGAAAAUCCUCUACCAAUGGAUAAAACUUUAGUUUUAGUAUAAGUGUAGUCUCGUUUUUUAUUGGAAAGUAAAGGAACAAUAACCAAUUUCUUAUUCUAUCAAGAGUGUUGGUUAUUGUUCCUUUACUUAGUGAUCUUUUCUUUAGAUAAGUUUUUUUUACUUCAACAUAAAAAAAAAAGUAUUCUAGUCUUAGGGAUUGUUUUCUGAUUGCGUAUCAWACUUUUUUCCUUAUAUAGGAAAUUAUUUAUAAUUUGUAUACAUUCUUUUUAACCCUUUCUUUUUAAGGUUUUGUGAAAUUAUUAUYUUCUAGUUUUUUUUUUUGGAAUCAAAAUAAAGGAAAUACU
Molecule: unclassified non-coding RNA, 362 nt
Filed under: Patersonia fragilis
Lineage: Eukaryota; Viridiplantae; Streptophyta; Magnoliopsida; Asparagales; Iridaceae
Description: partial miscellaneous RNA
Source: RNAcentral